UCAUUUGGUUUCUGCUACUGCUGCUACUGCUAAGUCACUUCAGUCGUGUCCGACUGCAACCCCAUAGACGGCAGCCCACCAGCCUCCCCCGUCCCUGGGAUUCUCCAGCAGACUCCAAAGUACCUGUCCUUUCUAAACUCGCACAAGGGAAGCUCGCCCAAACACUGCCUGGAUUUUAAAUCAUAAUAACCAGCCUCUGUGACUCAAACACUGAAACAAUAUGGCUGCACACAGGGUCCUGGGAUCAGGUUGCCAUGAAACAUAACUACCUCUAUGCUAAGUUGCUUCAGUCAUGUCCAACUCUGUGCGACCCCAUAGAUGGCAGCCCACCAGGCUCCCCUGUCCCUGGGAUUCUCCAGGCAAGAACACUGGAGUGGCUUUCCAUUUCCUUCUCCAAUUAAUGAAAGUGAAAAGUGAAAGUGAAGUCGCUCAGUCGUGCCCGACUCUUAGCGACCCCAUGGACUGCAGCCCACCAGCCUCCUCCAUCCAUGGGAUUUUCCAGGCAAGAGUACUGGAGUGGGGUGCCAUUGCCUUCUCCGAAUUACCUCUGUACCUAGGUUAAU
This is a long non-coding RNA of Bos taurus (domestic cattle), 563 nucleotides long. The record is from Ensembl. NCBI's taxonomy places the organism in Eukaryota, Metazoa, Chordata, Mammalia, Artiodactyla, Bovidae.